UUAAUCAAUUCACAUCACAUGUAAAUCAAUUUGACUAACUACAACUAAGUUCAAUUUUAAGCCCCUUUGACCUAAUCCCAACCAACUCUUGAUUAGGUUCAAUCAACUGCUCAAAAUAGAAAAGGAUUCUAAUCUGAUCUAAUCAAUGACCCUAGUUGUAGUUUAGUCUCUAAACCUAAUUUGUUCAACCUAUACCCAAAGUUCAUAUUUUAUACAUUGAAAUUUAGAUCUUAAAUUCAUUAUUUUAGAUCUGUUGGUGCAAAAAUCCGCUUGCGCCGGAGAAGCUGGAGUCGGGGAAGCCGCGGUCGCCGUCGGGACCUGCAAGGGAAGUCUAAACUGGAGGUGGGGUUGCUCUGGCAAGACCCUCCGAUGCUCAAGUCAGUUCUCUGCCUCAACAAGAAUGGAGUGCUCGAACGGAGAAUUUAGCAGAGUUUUGAGAUAAAGAAUAUGAGCUUAAAGAAUAACGUAUCUGGGUCUCCCUUUUAUAGGCGGAGGAGGCAACGGAUUGAUGGCGACGUUUGUAACCGCCUGGUAGUGGGCCGCCCAUGGUCAGGGGGAAUUGAUUGCGGAAGAUGGUGGAGCAGACACGUGGCCAUCACUGCGGCCCGCCACGUGGAAUCUGUUAUGAGGGGUGGAGCAGCGUCCGUUGUCGUGACUUGCUAGCGGAUAGAAGAAUCGCAUGGUAUCCGUCGCAGGAGGUGGAGCAGGUUCGUGGCCGUUAUUGUGGCCUGUCAGGGG
This 738-nucleotide long non-coding RNA is filed under the name Elaeis guineensis (African oil palm). Its description in RNAcentral is "long non-coding RNA (EGUI_LNC056626)". Lineage: Eukaryota; Viridiplantae; Streptophyta; Magnoliopsida; Arecales; Arecaceae. The record is from RNAcentral.